RNAcentral lists this ribosomal RNA (1401 nucleotides) under Triticum aestivum (bread wheat). Its description in RNAcentral is "partial small subunit ribosomal RNA". The record is from RNAcentral. Lineage: Eukaryota; Viridiplantae; Streptophyta; Magnoliopsida; Poales; Poaceae.
AUGGAGCAUGUGAUCGGGGGGAAGUUUAAGCUGGGUAGGAAGAUUGGGAGCGGAUCUUUCGGGGAGCUGUAUCUUGGCGUGAACAUACAGAGCAGCGAGGAGGUGGCUAUCAAGUUGGAAUCUGUCAAAUCAAGGCAUCCCCAGCUUCAUUAUGAGUCAAAACUAUAUAUGCUUCUGCAAGGGGGGAUGGGGAUUCCUCAUCUGAAAUGGUUUGGAGUGGAUGGGGAGUACAAUGUCAUGGUCAUUGAUCUUCUUGGUCCAAGUCUGGAGGACUUGUUCAACUAUUGCAACAGAAAAUUUACCCUUAAAACAGUACUUCUGCUUGCUGAUCAGAUGAUCGCUAGGGUAGAGUACAUGCACUCGAGGGGCUUUCUUCAUCGUGAUAUAAAGCCAGACAACUUUCUUAUGGGAUUAGGCCGUAAAGCAAGCCAGGUUUAUGUUAUUGACUAUGGCCUUGCAAAGAAGUACCGGGACCUCCAAACUCACAAGCACAUACCAUACAGGGAGAACAAAAAUCUUACAGGAACAGCACGUUAUGCUAGUGUAAAUACCCAUCUUGGAGUAGAACAAAGCAGGAGAGAUGAUUUAGAAUCUCUCGGUUAUGUGCUGAUGUACUUCAUAAGAGGAAGCCUUCCUUGGCAAGGUCUGAAAGCUGGCACGAAAAAACAGAAGUAUGAUAAAAUUAGUGAAAAGAAAAUGUUAACUCCAGUUGAGGUCCUUUGUAAAUCUUAUCCAUCGGAGUUCGUUUCAUACUUCCAUUACUGCCGAUCCUUGCGAUUUGAAGAUAAACCAGAUUACUCCUAUCUGAAGAAACUCUUCCGAGAUUUAUUUAUCCGUGAAGGGUACCAGUCUGAUCAUAUAUUUGACUGGACUGUGUCUAGGCAAGUAGCAGAGAAUAACAGAUUGCGACCAAGUGGAAGGACAGCUGGGUUGGUGGGGCCAUCUGCAGAACGGGCUGAACGGAUUGCAGCAAGACAGGAUGUUCCUGAUAGACUCUCUGGUUCAGUGGACACGUUUGCCAGAAGAACUGGCUCCGGUUCUGGCCAUCAUGGAGAAAACACGAAGCACAGAACUCUGUUGGAUACACUGUUGGCACCUAAGAUGGCUGCUGAUUCGGAUAAAAGAAGGCCUACAUCAUCCCGGAAUGGGAGCACAUCGAGGAAGGCUCUCCUGUCAAGCAGCAGACCAAGUUCUGGAGAGCCCAGUGACCCCACUCGCACUAGCCACCUAAUCCCAACCAGCAGUGGCAGCAGUCGUCCAUCAACCACUCAGAGGCUUCACCAAUCAACUGGACUCGAGGCCAGGUCGUCAUCGCUGUCGAAAACUGCGAGAAAUGUCCAUGAUGAUCCCACUAUAAGGACAUUUGAGCGCCUUACAAUUAGUGCAGACAGGAGGAAAUAA